RNAcentral lists this ribosomal RNA (453 nucleotides) under uncultured bacterium. RNAcentral's name for it is "SSU rRNA". It matches the Rfam family "Bacterial small subunit ribosomal RNA", at positions 26 to 518 of the family's 1533-position model. The record is from RNAcentral.
AGAACGAACGCUGGCGGCAGGCUUAACACAUGCAAGUCGAGCGAGGACUUCGGUCCUAGCGGCGGACGGGUGAGUAACGCGUGGGAACGUGCCCCUUUCUUCGGAAUAGCCUCGGGAAACUGGGAGUAAUGCCGAAUACGUCCCGUAAGGGAGAAAGAUUUAUCGGAGAGGGAUCGGCCCGCGUUGGAUUAGGUAGUUGGUGGGGUAAUGGCCUACCAAGCCGACGAUCCAUAGCUGGUUUGAGAGGAUGAUCAGCCACACUGGGACUGAGACACGGCCCAGACUCCUACGGGAGGCAGCAGUGGGGAAUCUUGGACAAUGGGGGCAACCCUGAUCCAGCCAUGCCGCGUGAGCGAUGAAGGCCUUAGGGUUGUAAACCUCUUUCGCCAGGGACGAAGAGAAAUUGACGGUACCUGGAUAAGAAGCACCGGCCAACUACGUGCCAGCAGCCGC